CAGAAGCAAAAUCCUUUUACUUACCAAUUCCUUAACCUGGCUGUGAUUCCAAACAGUGAUUUUUACAUCACCCCUGCAUUAUCCCUUUUCCAGAAAAAGAUUCUUUUGAAGAUGGGCUGACUGAACUGGUAUCUGACACUCAAAAUGUGGUGAAGCUGGGUGGUGUGUCGAAACAAACUGGAGUCUCGUUGGCAUUGCCCAGUUGGCUCAGCAAGUAAUUGUGAUCUCUGCAUAACCCAGUCACAUACUGCAGGAAUGCAUUGAUUUUUCGAGUUGGAAAGUAGGU
RNAcentral lists this long non-coding RNA (286 nucleotides) under Manacus vitellinus (golden-collared manakin). RNAcentral's name for it is "lncRNA (ENSMVIG00005008064.1)". The record is from RNAcentral. Lineage: Eukaryota; Metazoa; Chordata; Aves; Passeriformes; Pipridae.